RNAcentral lists this transfer-messenger RNA (177 nucleotides) under Sideroxyarcus sp. RNAcentral describes it as "partial transfer-messenger RNA". It matches the Rfam family "transfer-messenger RNA", at positions 1 to 191 of the family's 374-position model. Rfam says of the family: Bacterial tmRNA, also known as 10Sa RNA or SsrA, is named for its dual tRNA and mRNA-like properties. Its role is to liberate the mRNA from a stalled ribosome. To accomplish this part of the tmRNA is used as a reading frame that ends in a translation stop signal. The record is from RNAcentral. Lineage: Bacteria; Pseudomonadati; Pseudomonadota; Betaproteobacteria; Nitrosomonadales; Gallionellaceae.
GGGGGCGACCUGGCUUCGACGUGGGCUACAAAGCAGCGUAGGGCAUACCGAGGACCCGCCACCUCGUAAAUCAGCUGGAAAACCAAUAGUCGCAAACGACGAAAAGUACGCUCUAGCCGCUUAACCGGUUAGAUCCCACACCCUGCUGUCCGUGGAGGGGCUCAAGGCAGUAAUGCC